GAUGAACGCUGGCGGCGUGCCUAAUACAUGCAAGUCGAGCGAACGGACGAGAAGCUUGCUUCUCUGAUGUUAGCGGCGGACGGGUGAGUAACACGUGGAUAACCUACCUAUAAGACUGGGAUAACUUCGGGAAACCGGAGCUAAUACCGGAUAAUAUUUUGAACCGCAUGGUUCAAAAGUGAAAGACGGUCUUGCUGUCACUUAUAGAUGGAUCCGCGCUGCAUUAGCUAGUUGGUAAGGUAACGGCUUACCAAGGCAACGAUGCAUAGCCGACCUGAGAGGGUGAGCGCCCACACUGGAAUGGAGACACGGCCCGGCCCCCAAGGGGAGGAGGCAGUAGGGAAUCUUCGGAAAGGGGGGAAAGCCUGAGGGACCACCGCCGGGAGGUUGAGGAGGGUCUUCGGAUCGUAAAACUUUUUUAUUGGGGAAAAAAAUAGGUGUAAGUAAGUGUGCACUUUUGGAGGGUACCUAAUAAAAAACCCGCGGCAACCUAGGGC
This 497-nucleotide ribosomal RNA is filed under the name uncultured bacterium. RNAcentral's name for it is "partial 16S ribosomal RNA". It matches the Rfam family "Bacterial small subunit ribosomal RNA", at positions 28 to 508 of the family's 1533-position model. The record is from RNAcentral.